This 301-nucleotide ribosomal RNA is filed under the name uncultured bacterium. RNAcentral's name for it is "partial 16S ribosomal RNA". It matches the Rfam family "Bacterial small subunit ribosomal RNA", at positions 509 to 807 of the family's 1533-position model. The record is from RNAcentral.
CAGUAGCCGCGGUAAUUCGAAGGGUGCAAGCGUUAAUCGGAAUUACUGGGCGUAAAGCGUGCGUAGGCGGUUUGUUAAGUCUGUUGUGAAAUCCCCGGGCUCAACCUGGGAAUGGCAAUGGAUACUGGCAAGCUAGAGUGUGUCAGAGGAUGGUGGAAUUCCCGGUGUAGCGGUGAAAUGCGUAGAGAUCGGGAGGAACAUCAGUGGCGAAGGCGGCCAUCUGGGACAACACUGACGCUGAGGCACGAAAGCGUGGGGAGCAAACAGGAUUAGAUACCCCCGUAGUCCCUGUCUAUUAUAC